This is a long non-coding RNA of Drosophila elegans, 806 nucleotides long. RefSeq lists it as uncharacterized. The transcript is spliced from 2 exons. The record is from RefSeq and is a predicted model, not a curated record. NCBI's taxonomy places the organism in Eukaryota, Metazoa, Arthropoda, Insecta, Diptera, Drosophilidae.
GAUGCUGCUGUGGCCAAUGCUGCUGAGGCCAAUGCUGUUGCGGCUAAUGUUGCGGCGGCUGGUGGACGACGACCAGGUUAGGUCCGCCUGCAACUAAAGCAAAACCCUGACCUACACCAAAGUCGCUCGCCAUUUUCCCUCCCGCUCUCUCAAGAUGGGUCUGCAAACGUAUUCAAGGCCUUUUAACCCAGUUAACGAGCGAACCGGGCUAAAUUUAAAUAGCUAGAUCCUCUCCCGCUAUCAAUAGUCGGUGUCACCACCAAAUCUUAUCGAUAGCAGGACCUGCUGACGGAUCGGUUUGUUUCAGUAUUUUCCAGACGGCUUCAACUGAAAAUGCAACACAAUUAAAGAUAGAAUACUAUCACUGUGGACGGCCGUCCACGUAGUGACGAUGAGCACCGGAAAUCGUGCGCAAGAAGACCUAUCACUAUUGACGAUAUAUAUAGCAAUCAAAUCAAUCACUUUUAUAAGAGCUUGUGAAUGCUAGGAAUCCCUAUAGCUUUUGAGAUUACGCUACGUUUAAAAUGCAACAAAUUUUUCCCUACACAUUCGCUUUUGGGAGUUAUUCAGCGUUUAAAAAUUCAACCCAUUUCAGAUUUUAAAUAGUAUUUAAAUGAGCAGUAAUCUUUGCUAAGCCAAUAAGAUGCCUAAAAAUUUUAUUAGAGCUUUUUACGUAAAAUGGAAACAUAAGCAAGGGUAUUGUUUACUUAUAACUUAGAUUACCUGGUACUCAAUUUGAAAUAACUAUUUAGACCUUUUAAAUAAAAUCACCACCAACGGAUCCAUGUUGCAUGAGCUCUAAGUAA